Molecule: small RNA, 101 nt
Filed under: Marmota monax (woodchuck)
Lineage: Eukaryota; Metazoa; Chordata; Mammalia; Rodentia; Sciuridae
Source: RNAcentral
GCUGGAUGUGGUGGUGCAUAUCUGUAUUCCCAGUGACUCUGGAGGCUGAGGCAGAAGGAUUGCAAGUUGGAGGCCAGCUUUAGCAAUUUAGUGAGUCCCUA